This 85-nucleotide transfer RNA is filed under the name Aquimonas voraii. RNAcentral describes it as "tRNA_Leu_GAG". It matches the Rfam family "tRNA". Rfam says of the family: Transfer RNA (tRNA) molecules are approximately 80 nucleotides in length. Their secondary structure includes four short double-helical elements and three loops (D, anti-codon, and T loops). Further hydrogen bonds mediate the characteristic L-shaped molecular structure. tRNAs have two regions of fundamental functional importance: the anti-codon, which is responsible for specific mRNA codon recognition, and the 3' end, to which the tRNAs corresponding amino acid is attached (by aminoacyl-tRNA synthetases). tRNAs cope with the degeneracy of the genetic code in two manners: having more than one tRNA (with a specific anti-codon) for a particular amino acid; and 'wobble' base-pairing, i.e. permitting non-standard base-pairing at the 3rd anti-codon position. RNAcentral also lists the same sequence under 4 other names. The record is from RNAcentral. Lineage: Bacteria; Pseudomonadati; Pseudomonadota; Gammaproteobacteria; Lysobacterales; Lysobacteraceae.
GCCCAGGUGGUGGAAUUGGUAGACACACUAUCUUGAGGGGGUAGCGGCGCAAGCUGUGCGGGUUCGAGUCCCGCCCUGGGCACCA